GAUGGACCCGCGUCUGAUUAGCUGGUUGGUAAGGUAACGGCUUACCAAGGCGACGAUCAGUAGCCGGCCUGAGAGGGUGAACGGCCACAUUGGGACUGAGACACGGCCCAAACUCCUACGGGAGGCAGCAGUGGGGAAUAUUGCACAAUGGGGGAAACCCUGAUGCAGCGACGCCGCGUGAAGGAAGAAGUAUUUCGGUAUGUAAACUUCUAUCAGCAGGGAAGAAAAUGACGGUACCUGACUAAGAAGCCCCGGCUAACUACGUGCCAGCAGCCGCGGUAAUACGUAGGGGGCAAGCGUUAUCCGGAUUUACUGGGUGUAAAGGGAGCGUAGACGGCUAUGCAAGUCUGAUGUGAAAGGCAGGGGCUCAACCCCUGGACUGCAUUGGAAACUGUGUAGCUUGAGUGCAGGAGAGGUAAGUGGAAUUCCUAGUGUAGCGGUGAAAUGCGUAGAUAUUAGGAGGAACACCAGUGGCGAAGGCGACUUACUGGACUGUAACUGACGUUGAGGCUCGAAAGCGUGGGGAGCAAACAGGAUUAGAUACCCUGGUAGUCCACGCC
This 560-nucleotide ribosomal RNA is filed under the name uncultured bacterium. Its description in RNAcentral is "bacterial SSU rRNA". It matches the Rfam family "Bacterial small subunit ribosomal RNA", at positions 224 to 801 of the family's 1533-position model. The record is from RNAcentral.